GCAUUCAAAUUUUUAAAGGAUUGUUUGACUAGGGUGAAAAUAAAAGAUUUUAGUUAAAAGCUUUUGUAUUUGGGUCUAAGAAUUCAGGCAUAAGAUUUUUUUUUGGCCGUUCUAGUUUGCCAGGAAGGGUACUGUAAUUUUGGAUUUUGGAUUUGGCAUUGACACCAUAUAGGUGUCUUUCUUCCGCAUCAUCGUCUUUAUCAUCAACCCGGUUUAAGAUUGUACUUAGUUAUUUUGCUUGUAGUGAAGGGUACUGUUAUUGGAUGAAGAUAUAGAGUUCCUAUGAGGGAAUGCUGUUGGUUGACAUGCAUUUUUUUUUUUUUUUACUUUUAAUUCUAAUGAAAAUUGGUUCUUCCUUUGUGUAUCUUAGAUUGAUAUUUCUUACCAGGAAUAUUUUGUAAUGAUGAUAUUAUGGAAAUCUAGCAAAUGAUAUAGCAUGAAUGCCUUUUGCUGAUAAAUCUUUCCACAGUGCUUUGUUAGGUGGAGCUGUCAUUAUUGAAGAAUGUCUCCAAGCAAUGUGGCGAAUGAACAAUUCUGGGGUACGCAUUGGAUCUCCCUUUAGUACUGAGUUCUUUAUUUAAGUUCUUUCAUUGUUUUCCGUUGUGAUCCUAAGUCAUGCCUUAUAGAGUCUAGGCCUUGAGAAUGCAAAAUAAAAUGCAUUUUGGUUAAGUUUUGGAGAUCUAAUUUGAUAAAGUAGAUAUUUCUUUCUUGUAUGUAUAAUAUUCCUAUCAAGUAAUUCUUGGCAUAAAAUAUCCUCCUUGACCACGAAUUGCUGCCAGUUGUUCCAAUAGGCAGGGACUAGCCAGUAUAGCUCAGCAUAACCCAAGUGCUACUAACCAUUAAAAUAUCACCUCGAACAAAUUUUACUGAAGCAUUUUGCUAAAUGGUUCAGUUUUCUCAGUCCUGUUGUCUAAUCAACUAGUUGCUGGGGUUCGGCUAGAUUUAAGAUAUUUGUUACUUAUAAGACCUUUAGGAACAAGCUGCAGUCUUGGUUGUGCCAGCCUGAAAGAAUUGUGCUGCAUUUUUUCGUCCUGCCUUCUGCUUGUUAUCUCAUUUGGUUGUAUGUUGCUUUGGACCCUAUAACCUGCAGACUUCAUUUUGAUUCAUGAUUUCUUUUUCACAAUCAUUUAAGUUGAUAUAUUUGCAUUUUUAGUAUACUCAACUUGAUAAGGUUAUUGACAGGUUGGCACUCAUGUUUUAUCUACAAAAGGAGUUCGUUUGUGCAUAUUUAGUAUAUUUGCUUAUACGUCUCAUAUGUUUUAAUUUUCUUUGUUUCAGAUUGAAGCAACAAGCAGGAUUUGAUGUUCGCAUUUGAAGAACAUUUAGCUGGAGCUUUUUACUCUUCUUUGUUUUAGCUUUUGAAUAUUUGGGGUUCAAAUAAAUUUUCUAUUGCAUUGAUUUCUAUUAGAACAUAAAAACUUGUUUUCUGUAUUUUAUCACUGCUAUAGAUCAACAAUCUUAUAGUUUUGUUACAACCAUUUUUACUGUGUUGUUAUACUUCUCUAUUGCAAUUUAGUAAUAUGAUUCUAUUUUGUUCCGGAUACUACAGAUUGUAGGUUUUACAAUUAAUAUCAAAUGAAAAAAAUCCUAUUGUAAUUUGUUGAUAUUAGUAUUUUUUUUUAAUAUUAGUUUCAAAUUGCCAGCGGUCAAAAACUGUUGGUAUAUGCGCCUUAUGCCAGUGUUUUUCUUGUACUUUUAGCGACGGUUUAAGAACUGUUGCUAUAGAUCAUUUUCACCGAUGGUUAGUAAAAGUGCUGGGAAAAGGUUAUACCAGCAAGGAUAUUGUAGCGGUCACCUGCACUUUUACCAGCAGUUUUAGAACUGCUGGAGCAAAUAUUACCAGCAGUUUUCGUAUUCUUUAUCAGCAGUUUUGGCUGCUGGUAUAGGCCUUUUUUUUUGUAGUGUAGAGA
This 1910-nucleotide long non-coding RNA is filed under the name Ananas comosus (pineapple). Its description in RNAcentral is "long non-coding RNA (ACOM_LNC034164)". The record is from RNAcentral. Lineage: Eukaryota; Viridiplantae; Streptophyta; Magnoliopsida; Poales; Bromeliaceae.